RNAcentral lists this ribosomal RNA (56 nucleotides) under Thanatephorus cucumeris. RNAcentral's name for it is "5.8S ribosomal RNA". It matches the Rfam family "5.8S ribosomal RNA", at positions 1 to 55 of the family's 154-position model. From Rfam's summary of the family: 5.8S ribosomal RNA (5.8S rRNA) is a component of the large subunit of the eukaryotic ribosome. It is transcribed by RNA polymerase I as part of the 45S precursor that also contains 18S and 28S rRNA. The record is from RNAcentral. Lineage: Eukaryota; Fungi; Basidiomycota; Agaricomycetes; Cantharellales; Ceratobasidiaceae.
UAAGUUUCAACAACGGAUCUCUUGGCUCUCGCAUCGAUGAAGAACGCAGCGAAAUG